This 540-nucleotide ribosomal RNA is filed under the name uncultured bacterium. RNAcentral's name for it is "bacterial SSU rRNA". It matches the Rfam family "Bacterial small subunit ribosomal RNA", at positions 1 to 525 of the family's 1533-position model. The record is from RNAcentral.
UAGAGUUUGAUCCUGGCUCAGAACGAACGCUGGCGGCGUGCGUAACACAUGCAAGUCGAACGGGGUUAAGGGGCUUGCUCCUUAACUUAGUGGCGCACGGGUGAGUAACGCGUGGAUAAUCUGCCCGAUGCUCAGGGAUAACAUCUCGAAAGGGGUGCUAAUACCUGAUAAGCCCACAGGCUCUUCGGAGUUUGCGGGAAAAGGGGGGGACCUUCGGGCCUCCCGACAUCGGAUGAGUCCGCGUCCCAUUAGCUAGUUGGUGGGGUAAAGGCCUACCAAGGCGACGAUGGGUAGCUGGUCUGAGAGGAUGAUCAGCCACACUGGAACUGAGACACGGUCCAGACUCCUACGGGAGGCAACAGUGGGGAAUUUUGCGCAAUGGGGGAAACCCUGACGCAGCAACGCCGCGUGAGUGAUGAAGGCCUUUGGGUCGUAAAGCUCUGUCAGAGGGAAAGAAAUGUGUGCGGUUAAUAGCCGUUACACUUGACGGUACCCUCAAAGGAAGCACCGGCUAACUCCGUGCCAGCAGCCGCGGUAAUA